RNAcentral lists this transfer RNA (82 nucleotides) under Cordylochernes scorpioides. RNAcentral describes it as "tRNA-Thr". The stretch from base 16 to 73 matches the Rfam family "tRNA", at positions 8 to 63 of the family's 71-position model. Rfam says of the family: Transfer RNA (tRNA) molecules are approximately 80 nucleotides in length. Lineage: Eukaryota; Metazoa; Arthropoda; Arachnida; Pseudoscorpiones; Chernetidae. The record is from RNAcentral.
GCCUAAACGGAAAAAUAGCCUAGUGGACAUGGCAUCUGCCCGGUAAGCGGAACACUGUGGGUUCGAUUCCCAUCCCUGGACA